This 253-nucleotide ribosomal RNA is filed under the name uncultured bacterium. RNAcentral's name for it is "partial 16S ribosomal RNA". It matches the Rfam family "Bacterial small subunit ribosomal RNA", at positions 524 to 776 of the family's 1533-position model. The record is from RNAcentral.
UACAGAGGGGGCUAGCGUUGUUCGGAAUUACUGGGCGUAAAGGGCUCGUAGGCGGCCAACUAAGUCCGACGUGAAAUCCCCAGGCUCAACCUGGGAACUGCGUCGGAUACUGGAUGGCUUGAAUUCGAGAGAGGGAUGCAGAAUUCCAGGUGUAGCGGUGAAAUGCGUAGAUAUCUGGAGGAAUACCGGUGGCGAAGGCGGCAUCCUGGACCGACAUUGACGCUGAGGAGCGAAAGCUAGGGGAGCAAACGGG